ACGAACGCUGGCGGUAGGCCUAACACAUGCAAGUCGAACGGCAGCACAGUAAGAGCUUGCUCUUAUGGGUGGCGAGUGGCGGACGGGUGAGGAAUACAUCGGAAUCUACCUUUUGGUGGGGGAUAACGUAGGGAAACUUACGCUAAUACCGCAUACGCCCUUCGGGGGAAAGCCGGGGACCUUCGGGCCUGGCGCUGAUAGAUGAGCCGAUGUCGGAUUAGCUUGUUGGUGAGGUAAUGGCUCACCAAGGCGACGAUCCGUAGCUGGUCUGAGAGGAUGAUCAGCCACACUGGAACUGAGACACGGUCCAGACUCCUACGGGAGGCAGCAGUGGGGAAUAUUGGACAAUGGGCGCAAGCCUGAUCCAGCCAUACCGCGUGGGUGAAGAAGGCCUUCGGGUUGUAAAGCCCUUUUGUUGGGAAAGAAAAGCAUUCGGUUAAUACCCGGGUGUUCUGACGGUACCCAAAGAAUAAGCACCGGCUAACUUCGUGCCAGCAGCCGCCGCCG
Molecule: ribosomal RNA, 507 nt
Filed under: uncultured bacterium
Lineage: Bacteria
Description: partial 16S ribosomal RNA
Rfam family: Bacterial small subunit ribosomal RNA
Source: RNAcentral